UUCAUCACCAGCAGGUAGCGCAGGUCCAGAGGGUCCUCCAGCUCAUGCACUGACAGCUGCCCACCACCAGGGGGAGAGAGGGAGUCAGCAGUAGAUUUGAACUUUCCUUUUUUUCCCCAAGUAAACAGACCAUGACAGGAUUUUUCACACGGCACACCUGACCUCACCUGGCGGCACACCAGAGUGCCGCGGCACACCUGACCUAACCUGACGGCACACCAGAGUGCCGCGGCACGCCUGACCUCACCUGACGGCACACCAGAGUGCCGCGGCACGCCUGACCUCACCUGAGGGCACACCGGUUGGGAAACACUGCACUAACGGCACACCCCUAGCAUGCAGAGGAACAUUCGAGCGAAGACUGGCAGUACCGAGAUGCUCCACCAGGGGGAGACAUUACCUGGAACUUGUUGGUGGAGUUGAAGGGGAUCUCGCAGAUCUUGUUGAACCUGGCUCUGAAGUCCAUGAUGUUGCCGAUGGUGAGCUCCGUGAAUUUGAGCAGCGCUGUCUCUGAGGCGUCCCCCACCACUGUUCUCUGUGGCAGACAGGAGGGGAACAGCAGAAAAAAGCAAGCAAGCCUCCAUCAGCACAAAUUCACUGCUGGUUUCCCUUCCAAAAUCCGCCCAUAUGGAAAAAUUAUAUAUGUAAAUAUUAAAUAUGCUAAAUAUAUUUGUAUUUUAAUA
This is a long non-coding RNA of Anguilla rostrata (American eel), 683 nucleotides long. RefSeq lists it as uncharacterized. The record is from RefSeq and is a predicted model, not a curated record. Lineage: Eukaryota; Metazoa; Chordata; Actinopteri; Anguilliformes; Anguillidae. The transcript is spliced from 2 exons.